Long non-coding RNA from Seriola aureovittata, 2388 nucleotides. RefSeq lists it as uncharacterized. The transcript is spliced from 3 exons. Lineage: Eukaryota; Metazoa; Chordata; Actinopteri; Carangiformes; Carangidae. The record is from RefSeq and is a predicted model, not a curated record.
GCAUUCACCCUUAAACCGUCAUCUCCACUUGUUCCUGUCCAGCAAAACGUUACAUACUGUGAACUUGCUUUAAAGGGGCUAUUUGUAAGUUUUCACUGCCGCCAAAUGUGUUUCUCGCUGGAAGAGAGUGUCGGUGAUUGUCGCUUGACAAGGGAUUCAAACAUUGUUGUUGUUAUAGUACAAGAUGUUAUGAUACGCCCUUCGAGUAGCGCUACGUCUUCAGGGCAGCUCGGAGGCUACUUCUAGUCGUUAUCAGAAAGUGACGGACUGGCUGGUGCUAGCUCGUUAGCAUGCUAACUUCAGUAGAAGAAAAGGCAACAGUUACCGUUAGCGUUGCAAACCACCGCUGGAGACAGCUCUUGGGCUGGGGACUUUUAUAAUUCCCAGAGAGGAUGGCUGACUUCCUGAAAUAAAGACUACCAGCUCCACUCUGACAUGACAGCAUGGGGGACUACAGCCCUCGAUUCAUCACUGGGUCUGGAAAUAACAGGACACCUCCAGUUUGUCAUACUAGAUUAGUCUGUGGCCCGUAACCACUGUCCUUAAUAGAGUCUCCAGCGUUUCAUCUGAGGUGUCCACUAGACCACCACUGUAGACCUCAGGGGGAACACAGAGGGUGUAUCGACAUCCCUUGUACUGGCUUAUGUGUGAGUGUAUUUUACUUCCGCUGUAGAAUCGAUAAAGAACCAAAGCCAUUUACAGCUUCUGCCAUUAAAAGAAAAAUAUUUCCUGCUCUAAAAAUUCCAAAACCUGCAAUCAACAAGAGACAAUUUUAGUCUUUAAUGUGAGGAUUUGCAUGGAUCAUCGACUGUCAAGAAUGACCUGUGUGCAGCCCUCAGAGAUACUCAGUCACAAUUCUCCAGGGACAAUAAGUCUAUAUCCCGCACAUAAAAUCAAUCGAUUGUAAUCCAUAGUAUUUCUUAAUUGGUGAUUAGCUGUUACUUUGUGGAUCACAGGUCCUGGCAGUGGAAUUAGCCUUGGUCUUUAAUAACUGCUUGACCAGCCAGUGGGGAAGUGUAAUGGACAGUGCAGGGUUAGGCCAGGACUGUGAUGCAGUAGCUCCUCACCGCUUCCCCUCCUGACCUUGACUGGCAGUAUGGCUCUUUGAAAAUCUAAGUGCCCAUCUUACAGCAUGCCUGAAGCAAUUUAGGAGUCCAUACACAUUCAUAUAAGUCGUACCUAUUGAUUCUUUUGCUGCUGUUCACACACAGUCUGGCAAUGUAGAGUUUCAAUUAUCACUAUGUGACCUGCCAUUGUCUGGGGAAAAUGUGAUACAUAGCUGAGGAAUCUUAAAGUUUGCAGAAAAAAAGAACAAAAAAUCUGCACCUGUACGUAUUGAAUAAAGAGACCCUGUGGACAUAAUUUAAGAAGAGCUUGUAACUUUUUAGAAACAAACUUGAUUUCCAGACUUGUAUGCAGUGGAAACCUCAACUCUCCAAGUGCAAAGAGGAAAUUCAAAAUAAACCUUAACUAGACAAAUAGACCAGUUUACGCAUCAACUAAAGCUCAAUGAUUUCUCCAUGUAACUAUUGUCAGUUUUGCCUGCAGACAUACCGUCUAUAGACAACAGAGUCAGGGCCCCUGAUGGAUACACCACUGCUGGGGGGUUGCUUAUUUAGACUGGGAUGAUGUGCGCUGUCUCUGGCUCCAGAGGCUGCCCCUCUUCCUGUUUACCUGGGAGUCCUUUGGGGUGAGGUUGAGCUGAAAAGCCCAGUCGGAGCCAGUCAAAGGGAGCGUGGCGCAGUCUUGACCCUGGCGCUCCACUCAUUGUGUAGUGCAGCGGUGUAAUGAGGCCCUGUGUGGAUAUUGAUAUGACAGAACAAAAGGCCAAGGUGCAGUAAGGACAGCAAUCCACACGUUUCACACCAUUUGUUUUUCACACCGUAUCCAUCACAUUAAUGGGUCACCUUUCUGUGACAGCUCAUGAUUACCUGCUUACCCAUGGAGAGAAAAGGGGGUGAGAGAGAGAGAGAAAAAGAGAGAGAGAAAGAGAGAGAGAGAGCCUGGUAAGUGCAAGGAGAGAGAGAGCGAUAGGCAGGAAGAUAGUGAGGGUGCUCCAGUACUGAGGGUAAAGGGUGAGUUGGGGUUGGAAGGGGGCUCAGGGAUUGGGGGGGAUGGGAACCUACUGCCAUUUUUUUAUACUUUCAUGAAGAUUGGCUCCGGCCCUGUCAUCAUCCCCACAGAGUGAAUUUAUGACGGGUCAGCUCUCCAUGUAGUCACCUGAUGGAUGGAGAACAUCCAAGUUUAUUUGGGGCAAAGUGGAAAUGGCUGAACAAUUCCCCAAAGCACCGAUAGAUUCUUUUUUCUACUUUAUUUUUUUUUUUUCUAAGUGAAAUGCAUCAGAGUUACUGAAAAAGAUCAUUGUCACUUGUAAAAAUAAACAAAAAA